GCCGGCGGCUGCGCAGUGCGCGCCGGCAUCUAACUCCAUUCCCCAACACUCAUUGCGGCUGACCGUCGGUCACAUGACCGCACAACAUAGACGCCCCACGGCAGCUGCGCAGUGCGUGCCGGCGUCUAACUACAUUUCCCAACACUCAUUGCGGCCGACUGCCGGUUACAUGACCGCACAAUAUAGAGCAGUUCAAAUAUAAAACUAAC
Molecule: non-coding RNA, 209 nt
Organism: Pelobates cultripes (western spadefoot toad)
Lineage: Eukaryota; Metazoa; Chordata; Amphibia; Anura; Pelobatidae
Source: the annotation of a GenBank genome assembly